This 118-nucleotide ribosomal RNA is filed under the name [Bacteroides] pectinophilus. Lineage: Bacteria; Bacillati; Bacillota; Clostridia; Eubacteriales. The record is from RNAcentral.
UCUGGUGGCGAUGCGCCUGCGGGACACACCCGUUCCCAUCCCGAACACGAUGGUUAAGACGCAGACGGCCGAAAAUACUACGCUGGCGACGGCGUGGGAAGAUAGGUGGCUGCCAGAU